GGAGAAGCACUUCUUUGAAAAUUAUCCCCAGUACUGUCUUUACUUGCUUGUGCUUAUGCAGGGGCCACUAGAGGGAUGAGCAUGCCCACCUGAUGGUGAGUCUAGGAAGAAUUUCAAACCUCAUCUCAGCAUGAUUACCUUGACCAAAAUCCUACUUCUAAUUUCUUGGAGGUGUCAUGUCCAUUUUCAGUUAAAUGAGCAUGGGGUGAAUAACACCUAUGUUUAUUUUUUAGAAGUAUUUCUAUUGCUGAAUUAUUAAUUUUAAUUUUAUGAGUUUUAGUAUAUUUAACAAUGUGUCCUUAACAGAAAAAACCUGUUUAAAGUAUUGAAUUUUUAAUAUUUGUUUACAAAUAAGCAUAUAAAUUUCAACAUCAACUGACUUUUGUUUACAAAGUCUAAAAAAUAACAAGAGAAAUACAUUCCUAUAGCAACUACAGUGAAAA
Molecule: long non-coding RNA, 443 nt
Organism: Chinchilla lanigera (long-tailed chinchilla)
Lineage: Eukaryota; Metazoa; Chordata; Mammalia; Rodentia; Chinchillidae
Exons: 2
Source: RefSeq, a predicted model, not a curated record